Molecule: ribosomal RNA, 253 nt
Filed under: uncultured bacterium
Lineage: Bacteria
Description: partial 16S ribosomal RNA
Rfam family: Bacterial small subunit ribosomal RNA
Source: RNAcentral
UACGGAGGGUGCGAGCGUUGUCCGGAAUCAUUGGGCGUAAAGGGCGCGUAGGUGGCUUCUCAAGCGUGCGGUGAAAGCCUGGGGCUCAACCCCGGGUCGGCCGUGCGAACUGGGGGGCUGGAGCACUGUAGAGGCAGGCGGAAUUCCGGGUGUAGCGGUGGAAUGCGUAGAGAUCCGGAAGAACACCGGUGGCGAAGGCGGCCUGCUGGGCAGUUGCUGACACUGAGGCGCGACAGCGUGGGGAGCAAGCAGG